Molecule: ribosomal RNA, 448 nt
Filed under: uncultured bacterium
Lineage: Bacteria
Description: bacterial SSU rRNA
Rfam family: Bacterial small subunit ribosomal RNA
Source: RNAcentral
GCCAGACUCCUACGGGAGGCAGCAGUGGGGAAUAUUGCACAAUGGGGGAAACCCUGAUGCAGCGACGCCGCGUGAGUGAAGAAGUAUUUCGGUAUGUAAAGCUCUAUCAGCAGGAACGAGACAAGACGGUACCUGACUAAGAAGCCCCGGCUAACUACGUGCCAGCAGCCGCGGUAAUACGUAGGGGGCAAGCGUUAUCCGGAUUUACUGGGUGUAAAGGGAGCGUAGACGGCGAUGCAAGCCAGAUGUGAAAGCCCGGGGCUCAACCCCGGGACUGCAUUUGGAACUGUGUGGCUGGAGUGUCGGAGAGGCAAGUGGAAUUCCUAGUGUAGCGGUGAAAUGCGUAGAUAUUAGGAGGAACACCAGUGGCGAAGGCGGCUUGCUGGACGAUGACUGACGUUGAGGCUCGAAAGCGUGGGGAGCAAACAGGAUUAGAUACCCCCGUAUA